Molecule: long non-coding RNA, 1464 nt
Organism: Gambusia affinis (western mosquitofish)
Lineage: Eukaryota; Metazoa; Chordata; Actinopteri; Cyprinodontiformes; Poeciliidae
Exons: 3
Source: RefSeq, a predicted model, not a curated record
CGACCUGCACGCCGGGGGAGGCUGCUGCUGCAGCCCGCAUUCCUGCUCCUCCUCUCCGGUACCGGUCCAGCUCAGCUGCCGCUUAUGGACCGCCUGCGCGUUCACGUGGAGACCCGUUUCAUGCUGACGGGAGCGCGCAUUGCCACUGUGUUUGUUGCUCGUUGAAGAACCAACUGCCUGAGCCCGGUUGAAGUCUAAUCCUAGCAGCUGUUCAGAACCCGAACAGGUCCGGACUCAGAACCUUCUGUCGGUCCUUCAGGGACUUUAGCUGCUUUUCAGUCCAGUUUGUUCUGAUUUAUUCAGCGGAACACAAAUGAAGGCCCAGUUCACCAGACAGAACUUUAUGAGGAUCACGGACCUUCAACAGAGCCGAACAUCACUGCGUAUAAUAGCAUAAACAUUAGCAUGCUAACUCCGGAUGUUUUCCAGAUUUCCAAUCAGCCAGUGGACAUUUUUCAAGAUGGCUUCCGUUUGUUAGCCUCAAACAAUUUAUUGAAAUAAAACGUUCCCCAUUUCCAUGACUUGGAUGACCUUUGUGUGUCAUCAGUGUUUCCAUUUUCGUCAUUCUGUUCAUAUGAUGUGAUAAUAUGCAGAAUCUGAAACUGAAACUGGUUAUUAUAUUUAUACAACUUUAAAAGUAAUAUAGCAAAAUCUGAAACCGAGGAUUUAGCCGUUAGUGACUCUUACCAGUCGUCAACUGGAAGGAGAUGAAGAUGAGAGAUUUUUGUGUAACAGGAGGCACCAUUAGGGGUCGCUGUCUCUACAGCCUGAAGCUAGAAGGAUGGUGGUGAAGCAUCAAUUUCCUGUCAGACCAGUUUUGUGUUGUUUGUUGUUUGCUGGCUGUGGACUGCAGUGCUGAUGGUGUUCAGGUGGUGGCGUUACCUGGGCGUGGUUGUUCGACGCCACAGAAAAGAAAACCCAGCAAACAUCUGCAGAGCGGCGUUGGUCAUCAUCUGUACUAAAUAAAGACAGAAGAAGAAGAAGCUCCGCCAACCUCCUGCUGCCACCAGGAGUUAAUUAUAAGAUUUUCCACUUCUUCUGGUCUCAGGCUCCUCCUUUCUGUCCAGAACUUCAGCAGAGCAAACUGGGCCGCACUCAGCUGUUACACAACUCCCACAGAGCUUGUUUGUGUAGCACUGGGCCAUUGUUGGUCACCCAGUGAGCACUGGGAACUGAACUGGGAGGGGGCAUGAAACCAGUGGUUGCUUCAGUUCCCAACUCCAAGCAGAGAGGAUUCAGUCCAACAAUGUUCAGCUCCACCGGUCCGAACGGAUUCACCGCAGAGCAAAGGAACCAAGAACCGGAUCGGCUGGACUGACGCUGCAACCGCUCCGACAUUUUACUUUGUUAGAAACUAAAUCCAACAUUUUACUUUGUUAUUUUUGGCCUUUUUAGGUGAAACUCACAGAAAAACAGACAAAAGGUAAAUAAUUCCAACCAAGCUGAAACCGAUUUUGUCGGGAU